GGGCCUGUGGUCUAACGGCUAUGACGUCGCCUUCGCAAGGCGGAGAUUCCGGGUUCAAUUCCCGGCAGGUCCA
Molecule: transfer RNA, 73 nt
Filed under: Candidatus Woesearchaeota archaeon
Lineage: Archaea; Nanobdellati; Candidatus Woesearchaeota
Description: tRNA-Ala
Rfam family: tRNA
About the family: Transfer RNA (tRNA) molecules are approximately 80 nucleotides in length.
Source: RNAcentral